AUGAGUCAAGGAGUCGUGCGAGUUUGCACGGUUAGUUGUCGUUGCGUCUGUGAGUCGUCGUCGUGUCCAAGUGCUCGUCUUGGUGAUGAUUCGUUGGAGUGGAUGCAGUGUGCACGGUGUUCCGUGAGUCAUGUCCAUGUCCUCGUGAAGCAUCCUGGUUGCGGCCAGUGUGGAUUCGGUGUGAUGCCGAAGGCGGACGAUGGUAGGCGAAGCCAUCGUAAAGCGAGGAGGUGUGCAAGCAGUGGAGAGUGCAUCUAUUGCAAGCAAGUACAAGGAGUAUGGUGCGGACCGAGUGCAAGGCAGCGGGCAAGCAAUGGCGGUGGCACAACAUGA
RNAcentral lists this ribosomal RNA (333 nucleotides) under Triticum aestivum (bread wheat). Its description in RNAcentral is "partial small subunit ribosomal RNA". The record is from RNAcentral. Lineage: Eukaryota; Viridiplantae; Streptophyta; Magnoliopsida; Poales; Poaceae.